This 508-nucleotide ribosomal RNA is filed under the name uncultured bacterium. Its description in RNAcentral is "partial 16S ribosomal RNA". It matches the Rfam family "Bacterial small subunit ribosomal RNA", at positions 28 to 523 of the family's 1533-position model. The record is from RNAcentral.
GAUGAACGCUAGCUACAGGCUUAACACAUGCAAGUCGAGGGGAAACGAUAUUGGAAGCUUGCUUCCGAUAGGCGUCGACCGGCGCACGGGUGAGUAACGCGUAUCCAACCUGCCCACUACUUGGGGAUAACCUUGCGAAAGUAAGACUAAUACCCAAUGAUAUCUCUAGAAGACAUCUGAAGGAGAUUAAAGAUUCAUCGGUGAUGGAUGGGGAUGCGUCUGAUUAGCUUGUUGGCGGGGUAACGGCCCACCAAGGCGACGAUCAGUAGGGGUUCUGAGAGGAAGGUCCCCCACAUUGGAACUGAGACACGGUCCAAACUCCUACGGGAGGCAGCAGUGAGGAAUAUUGGUCAAUGGGCGAGAGCCUGAACCAGCCAAGCAGCGUGCAGGAUGACGGCCCUAUGGGUUGUAAACUGCUUCUAUAAGGGAAUAAAGUGAGUCUCGUGAGACUUUUUGCAUGUACCUUAUGAAUAAGGACCGGCUAAUUCCGUGCCAGCCGCCGCCGUAA